UCGGGAAUUUUGGGCAAUGGGCGAAAGCCUGACCCAGCAACGCCGCGUGAAGGAUGAAGUAUUUCGGUAUGUAAACUUCGAAAGAAUAGGAAGAAUCAAUGACGGUACUAUUUAUAAGGUCCGGCUAACUACGUGCCAGCAGCCGCGGUAAUACGUAGGGACCAAGCGUUGUUCGGAUUUACUGGGCGUAAAGGGCGCGUAGGCGGCGCGGUAAGUCACUUGUGAAAUCUCUGAGCUUAACUCAGAACGGCCAAGUGAUACUGCAGUGCUAGAGUGUGGAAGGGGCAAUCGGAAUUCUUGGUGUAGCGGUGAAAUGCGUAGAUAUCAAGAGGAACACCUGAGGUGAGGACGGGUUGCUGGGCCAACACUGACGCUGAGGCGCGAAAGCCAGGGGGAGCAAACGGGAUUAGAUACCCGAGUAGUCCCUGAGCGGGCUGGCAAGGCGCAU
RNAcentral lists this ribosomal RNA (448 nucleotides) under uncultured bacterium. RNAcentral describes it as "bacterial SSU rRNA". It matches the Rfam family "Bacterial small subunit ribosomal RNA", at positions 355 to 825 of the family's 1533-position model. The record is from RNAcentral.